Molecule: ribosomal RNA, 253 nt
Filed under: uncultured bacterium
Lineage: Bacteria
Description: partial 16S ribosomal RNA
Rfam family: Bacterial small subunit ribosomal RNA
Source: RNAcentral
UACGUAGGGACCGAGCGUUGUCCGGAAUCAUUGGGCGUAAAGAGCGUGUAGGCGGCCUUUUAAGUCCUGCGUGAAAUCCUGCGGCUCAACCGCAGACGGUCGUGGGAAACUGGAAGGCUAGAGUGCGGGAGAGGAGAGUGGAAUUCCCGGUGUAGCGGUGAAAUGCGCAGAUAUCAGGAGGAACACCAAUUGCGAAGGCAGCUCGCUGGAACGUAACUGACGCUGAGACGCGAAAGCGUGGGGAGCAAACAGG